CCCUUAGAUGUUCUGGGCCGCACGCGCGCUACACUGAUGCAUUUAACGAGUCUAAAACCUGGUCUGAUAGGGCUGGGUAAUCUUUUGAAAGUGCAUCGUGAUUGGGAUAGAUGAUUGCAAUUCUUCAUCUUCAACGAGGAAUGCCUAGUAAACGCAAGUCAUCAGCUUGCAUUGAUUACGUCCCUGCCCUUUGUACACACCGCCCGUCGCUCCUACCGAUUGAAUGAUCCGAUGAAUACCAUGGAUUGAGAGUACGAAUGGGUUCGCUCAUUUCUGCUGCUCGAGAAGUGGAGUAAAUCUUAUCAUUUAGAGGAAGGAGAAGUCGUAACA
This 330-nucleotide ribosomal RNA is filed under the name uncultured eukaryote. Its description in RNAcentral is "partial 18S ribosomal RNA". It matches the Rfam family "Eukaryotic small subunit ribosomal RNA", at positions 1470 to 1796 of the family's 1831-position model. The record is from RNAcentral.